This 161-nucleotide transfer-messenger RNA is filed under the name Muribaculaceae bacterium. RNAcentral's name for it is "partial transfer-messenger RNA". It matches the Rfam family "transfer-messenger RNA", at positions 1 to 147 of the family's 374-position model. From Rfam's summary of the family: Bacterial tmRNA, also known as 10Sa RNA or SsrA, is named for its dual tRNA and mRNA-like properties. The record is from RNAcentral. Lineage: Bacteria; Pseudomonadati; Bacteroidota; Bacteroidia; Bacteroidales; Muribaculaceae.
GGGGUUGACUGGUUUUGACAGCGUGUAGAAGUGGUGGGUAAGCGUGCGGAGCUUUGAAGUCUACGCUCCUUAAUAUCAGGCUUUAGCAAUUUUAAAUGGCGAAAAUAACUACGCUCUUGCUGCCUAAUCGAAGCACAGUAGAUUACGCUUAAUCGCCGCAA